Small nucleolar RNA from Psammomys obesus (fat sand rat), 143 nucleotides. RefSeq annotates it as small nucleolar RNA SNORA48. The record is from RefSeq and is a predicted model, not a curated record. The transcript has a single exon. Lineage: Eukaryota; Metazoa; Chordata; Mammalia; Rodentia; Muridae.
CCUCCCUGGCAAUGGGCAAGAGACGCCUUAUUGUUGGUGGUGUUCUUAUAUAAUCCAGGGGCAGAGCAAAUGGCACUCCUUUGUACAUCCUAGCUUAAUGUCUGGCUUGUUGGCCAAAGCUAUCUUCUGCCUAGGACUCACAG